CUUUUGUACAUAGAUUGAAUUAUUAGGUCAUACCUUUUGCUUUUUUGAAUUCGACAAUUUCAGCAGGAAGCAGUACAGGGUAUCGUUGAUUGGCGAAAAUAAACAAAUCAGUGAUCAUGUGACCAACCCUAGACAUAAGCAAUUUAGAUUUUGAACGGUCACUUUGAUAACUGAUUUCCACAAAAAUCCAUCUUUAUUUGCUAGAACUUUUCCUCUGUUACAAAGCAGCUUAGUUGGAUUAUAUUUUGGAAUUUUGUUGUAUUUGAAUUAUAAAUUAUUCUGUUUUGAUAUUUUU
This 295-nucleotide long non-coding RNA is filed under the name Mytilus galloprovincialis (Mediterranean mussel). The record is from RNAcentral. Lineage: Eukaryota; Metazoa; Mollusca; Bivalvia; Mytilida; Mytilidae.